RNAcentral lists this ribosomal RNA (459 nucleotides) under uncultured bacterium. RNAcentral's name for it is "partial 16S ribosomal RNA". It matches the Rfam family "Bacterial small subunit ribosomal RNA", at positions 338 to 795 of the family's 1533-position model. The record is from RNAcentral.
CCUACGGGAGGCAGCAGUGAGGAAUAUUGGUCAAUGGCCGGAAGGCUGAACCAGCCAAGCCGCGUGAAGGACGAAGGUGCCAAGCAUUGUAAACUUCUUUUGUCAAGGGACAAAAUCAGGCUCGAGAGCCUGACCGAGGGUCCUUGAAGAAAAAGCAUCGGCUAACUCCGUGCCAGCAGCCGCGGUAAUACGGAGGAUGCGAGCGUUAUCCGGAUUUAUUGGGUUUAAAGGGUGCGUAGGCGGGCUGUUAAGUCAGCGGUAAAAGGCCGGGGCUCAACCCCGGCGAGCCGUUGAAGCUGGCUGUCUUGAGAUGUCGAGAGGUAUGCGGAAUGCGCAGUGUAGCGGUGAAAUGCUUAGAUAUUGCGCAGAACUCCGAUUGCGAAGGCAGCAUACCGGCGGCGAUCUGACGCUGAGGCACGAAAGCGUGGGUAUCGAACAGGAUUAGAUACCCGGGUAGUC